This 251-nucleotide unclassified non-coding RNA is filed under the name uncultured Hypocreales. Its description in RNAcentral is "sequence contains 5.8S rRNA gene, ITS2, 28S rRNA gene". The record is from RNAcentral. Lineage: Eukaryota; Fungi; Ascomycota; Sordariomycetes; Hypocreales.
AACGCACAUUGCGCCCGCUAGUAUUCUGGCGGGCAUGCCUGUUCGAGCGUCAUUUCAACCCUCAAGCCCUGCUUGGUGUUGGUGGCCUGCGGCGCCCUCGCGGCCCGCAGCCGCCCAAAUGCAUUGGCGGACCCGCCGUGGCUCCCUGCGUAGUAGUUUCAUCUCGCAUUGGGCCGGGGCGGCGCCCUGCCGUAAAACCCCCACUACACAAGGUUGACCUCGGAUCAGGUAGGAAUACCCGCUGAACUUAA